GACGAACGCUGGCGGCGUGCCUAAUACAUGCAAGUAGAACGCUGAAGGCGGAGCUUGCUUCUCUGGAUGAGUUGCGAACGGGUGAGUAACGCGUAGGUAACCUGCCUGGUAGCGGGGGAUAACUAUUGGAAACGAUAGCUAAUACCGCAUAAGAGUAGAUGUUGCAUGACAUUUGCUUAAAAGGUGCAAUUGCUUCACUACCAGAUGGAUCUGCGUUGUAUUAGCUAGUUGGUGGGGUAACGGCUCACCAAGGCGACGAUACAUAGCCGACCUGAGAGGGUGAGCGGCCACACUGGGACGGAGACACGGCCCAGACUACUAGGGGAGGGAGCAGUAGGGAAUCUUCGGCAAUGGACGGAAGUCUGACCGAGCAACGCCGCGUGAGUGAAGAAGGUUUUCGGGUCGUAAAGGUCUGUUGUAAGAGAAGAACAAGUGUGAGAGUGGAAAGUGCACACUGUGACGGUAUCUGACCAGAAAGGGACGGCUAACUACGUG
This 495-nucleotide ribosomal RNA is filed under the name uncultured bacterium. Its description in RNAcentral is "partial 16S ribosomal RNA". It matches the Rfam family "Bacterial small subunit ribosomal RNA", at positions 28 to 507 of the family's 1533-position model. The record is from RNAcentral.